ACGGAGGGUGCAAGCGUUGUCCGGAAUCAUUGGGCGUAAAGAGUUCGUAGGUGGUAUGUUAAGUCUGGUGUUAAAUCCCGAAGCUCAACUUCGGUCCGGCACUGGAUACUGGCAAACUUGAAUGCGGUAGAGGUAAAGGGAAUUCCUGGUGUAGCGGUGGAAUGCGUAGAUAUCAGGAGGAACAGCGGUGGCGUAAGCGCUUUACUGGGCCGUAAUUGACACUGAGGAACGAAAGCCGGUGUAGCAAAUGG
This 251-nucleotide ribosomal RNA is filed under the name uncultured prokaryote. RNAcentral describes it as "partial 16S rRNA". It matches the Rfam family "Bacterial small subunit ribosomal RNA", at positions 525 to 775 of the family's 1533-position model. The record is from RNAcentral.